UGCACAGCUGGAUAGUGCGUCAGACUCCGACUCUGAAGGUCGUAGGUUCGAAUCCUAUCGGGUAGGCCA
RNAcentral lists this transfer RNA (69 nucleotides) under Clostridia bacterium. Its description in RNAcentral is "tRNA-Arg". The stretch from base 2 to 58 matches the Rfam family "tRNA", at positions 10 to 63 of the family's 71-position model. From Rfam's summary of the family: Transfer RNA (tRNA) molecules are approximately 80 nucleotides in length. The record is from RNAcentral. Lineage: Bacteria; Bacillati; Bacillota; Clostridia.